Molecule: long non-coding RNA, 862 nt
Filed under: Vigna radiata
Lineage: Eukaryota; Viridiplantae; Streptophyta; Magnoliopsida; Fabales; Fabaceae
Description: long non-coding RNA (VRAD_LNC017198)
Source: RNAcentral
ACUACAAGAAAAGUGUUAAAUACCGAAGGUAUUUUUCCGAAGGCCAAGGGGCCGUCGGUAAAAGUUCCUUACCGAGGGCCAAAAAAUCACUUUCCGAAGGGCAACAUGAAAUAAUGUUUCCGACGGUCAAGAAGACCUUAGCGAGGGCUCUGUGUCCUUCGGUAAGGGUCUCGACCAAUUAAACUCAGCGAUUGAGGGUUUUCGUGCAGGUCGUCCCCAAUUUGCUCAAACAGAAACCCUUCCUCCCCUAUGUUGAGAACUGUUGAGAAAUUUGGUUUCAUUGUGUGCCUACGAUUCGUCGCGUUGCUGUGGGUGUCGAGUGGGGUGGUGGUUCGUGGUUAUCGGCGAGGCUUGUGCGGUGGGUGGGGUGGUGAAGCCCGAGAUUCGCUGUUGGGUUGAGAGCUCGCGGUGUCGCUCGGCUUCCAUUGAGUUGGGUGUUCUAGAGUGGGAGGUAAGUUCUCUGUUUUAGAACGCUACUUGAAUAAAUUAAUUGCCUUGUUCUUCCCUGCUUGUGUGCAAUGUGUCCAUCAAAUUGGGUGUUUCCCUGUUCUUACCAAUAUGCGUGAAGUUGUUUGCACUGUGAAUAUUUCUUCUUUGGCACCUUAUAUGUAUUGUGUGAUAAUGUGAGUUGUUUGGCUUAUAUCGGGGUUUUGGGUUGAGAUUGUGAGCACAACGGGGAGACAAGGCAGGUUAGUACGUUCCAUGUUUUCUGUUCAAUUCCUAUAUGGCAUUCUGUGUACUAGAACUUAUUCUGUUAUUGUUGGGCUGUUAGUUUUGAUUCCUCUUGAUUUUGUUUGGAGCUUGGAAUAAGUUUUGGGGGCUGUUUUGGUAUUGCUGUAAGCAUAACGGAAAUUGGUAAAUC